RNAcentral lists this ribosomal RNA (1517 nucleotides) under uncultured Bordetella sp. RNAcentral describes it as "partial 16S-23S ribosomal RNA intergenic spacer". It matches the Rfam family "Bacterial small subunit ribosomal RNA". Lineage: Bacteria; Pseudomonadati; Pseudomonadota; Betaproteobacteria; Burkholderiales; Alcaligenaceae. The record is from RNAcentral.
AGUUUGAUCCUGGCUCAGAUUGAACGCUGGCGGGAUGUUUACAUACAUGCAAGUCGAACGGCAGCACGGACUUCGGUCUGGUGGCGAGUGGCGAACGGGUGAGUAAUGUAUCGGAACGUGCCUAGUAGCGGGGAUAACUACGCGAAAGCGUAGUAGCUAAUACUCGCACACCUUCGGGGAAAGCGGGGACCUUCGGGCCUCGCACUAGGAGCGGCCGAUAUCGGAUUAGCUAGUUCGGUGGGGUAACGGGCUCACCGCGACGAUCUGUAGCUGGUUUGAGAGGACAUCUUCAGCCACACUGGGACUGAGACACGGCCCAGACUCCUACGGGAGGGCAGGGGGGAAUUCUGGACAAUGGGGGAAACCCUGAUCCAGCCAUCCUCCGCGUGUGCGAUGAAGGUGCCUCUGGGUUGUAAAGACUUUGGCAGGAAGAAACGGCACGGGAUAAUACUCCCGUGCAACUGACGGUACCUGCAGAAUAAGCACCGGCUAACUACGUGCCAGCAGCCGCGGUAAUGUGGUGGGUGCAAGUGUUAAUCGGAAUUACUGGGCGUAAAGCGUGCAGGCGGUUCGAAAGAAAGAUGUGAAAUCCCAGAGCUUAACUUUGGAACUGCAUUUUAAUCACUUUGAGCUAGAGGCUGAGGGAGGUGGAAUUUUGUGUAGCAGUGAAAUGCAGAUACGUGGAGGAACACCUCGAUGGCGAAGGCAGCCUCCCUGGACAACACUGACGCUCAUGCACGAAAGCGUGGGGGGAGCAAACAGGAUUAGAUACCCUGGUAGUCCACACCAAACGAUGUCAACUAGCUGUUGGGGCCUUCUGGCCUUGGUAGCGCAGCUAACGCGUGAAGUUGACCGCCUGUGGAGUACGGUCGCAAGAUUAAAACUCAAAGGAAUUGAUUUUGGGACCCGCACAAGCGGUGGAUGAUGUGGAUUAAUUGAUGCAACGCGAAAACCUUACCUACCCUUGACAUGUCUGGAAUCCUGAAGAGAUUUGGGAGUGCUCGCAGAGAACCGGAACACAGGUGCUGCAUGGCUGUCGUCAGCUCGUGUCGUGAGAUGUUGGGUUAAGUCCCGCAACGAGCGCAACCCUUGUCAUUAGUUGCUACGAAAGGGCACUCUAAUGAGACUGCCGGUGACAAACCGAGGAAGGUGGGGAUGACGUCAAGUCCUCAUGGCCCUUAUGGGUAGGGCUUCACAUCGUCAUACAAUGGUCGGGACAGAGGGUCGCCAACCCGCGCGAGGGGGAGCCAAUCCCAGAAACCCGAUCGUAGUCCGGAUCGCAGUCUGCAACUCGACUGCGUGAAGUCGGAAUCGCUAGUAAUCGCGGAUCAGCACGUCGCGGUGAAUACGUUCCCGGGUCUUGUACACACCGCACGUCACACCAUGGGAGUGGGUUUUACCAGAAGUGUUAGCCUAACCGUAAGGAGGGCGAUUACCACGGUAGGAUUCAUGACUGGGGUGAAGUCGUAACAAGGUAACUCUGUUAGCCACCCACGCCCCCCAGAUAACACGUAAUC